GCAAGGGAAGUCAGCCAAGAACGUCGGGCUCAUAACCCGAAGGUCGGGAGUUCAAAUCUCCCCCCCGCCA
Molecule: transfer RNA, 70 nt
Filed under: Prochlorococcus marinus str. MIT 9313
Lineage: Bacteria; Bacillati; Cyanobacteriota; Cyanophyceae; Synechococcales; Prochlorococcaceae
Rfam family: tRNA
About the family: Transfer RNA (tRNA) molecules are approximately 80 nucleotides in length. Their secondary structure includes four short double-helical elements and three loops (D, anti-codon, and T loops).
Source: Rfam by way of RNAcentral